Molecule: non-coding RNA, 22 nt
Filed under: Rattus norvegicus (Norway rat)
Lineage: Eukaryota; Metazoa; Chordata; Mammalia; Rodentia; Muridae
Source: RNAcentral
UGAUUGUGUAAUUAUACCAAUA